UCAAGAAACUUCCACAAUGGGCGAAAGCCUGAUGGAGCGACGUCGCGUGAUGGACGAAGUGCUUCGGCACGUAAACAUCUUUUUAUGUGGGAUGAAAUUAUUGACAGUACCACAUGAAUAAGGGGCUCCUAACUCUGUGCCAGCAGGAGCGGUAAUACAGAGGCCCCAAGCGUUAUCCGGAAUCACUGGGCGUAAAGGGUGUCGAGGCGGUUGUAUUAGUCGUUCGUAAAAUCUACGAGCUUAACUUGUAGGCGGCGAACGAAACGGUACGACUUGAGGUUUGGAGAGGUGCGUGGAACUCACGGUGUAGGGGUGAAAUCCGUUGAUAUCGUGGGGAACACCAAAGGCGAAGGCAGCGCACUGGCCAAAAAUCUGACGCUCACACACGAAAGCUAGGGUAGCGAAGAGGAUUAGAUACCCCAGUAGUCCCUGAGCGGGCUGGCAAGGCGCAU
RNAcentral lists this ribosomal RNA (452 nucleotides) under uncultured bacterium. RNAcentral's name for it is "bacterial SSU rRNA". It matches the Rfam family "Bacterial small subunit ribosomal RNA", at positions 355 to 825 of the family's 1533-position model. The record is from RNAcentral.